RNAcentral lists this ribosomal RNA (920 nucleotides) under uncultured archaeon. Its description in RNAcentral is "bacterial SSU rRNA". It matches the Rfam family "Archaeal small subunit ribosomal RNA", at positions 1 to 928 of the family's 1478-position model. The record is from RNAcentral.
AUGCCUGCAGGUCCCUGCCGGACCCGACUGCUAUCAGAGUGGGACUAAGCCAUGCGAGUCAACGUAGCAAUGCGUGGCGAACGGCUCAGUAACACGUAGUCAACAUGCCCAGGGGACGUGGAUAACCUCGGGAAACUGAGAUUAAACCGCGAUAGGUCAAGAUUUCUGGAAUGGAUCGUGUCUUAAAUCUACAUGGCCCCUGGAUUGGACUGCGGCCGAUCAGGCUGUUGGUGAGGUAAUGGCCCACCAAACCUAUAACCGGUACGGGCUCUGAGAGGAGAAGCCCGGAGAUGGGCACUGAGACAAGGGCCCAGGCCCUAUGGGGCGCAGCAGGCGCGAAACCUCUGCAAUGGGCGAAAGCCUGACAGGGUUACUCUGAGUGAUUUCCGCUAAGGGGAUCUUUUGGCAGCUCUAAAAAUGGUGCAGAAUAAGGGGUGGGCAAGUCUGGUGUCAGCCGCCGCGGUAAUACCAGCACCCCGAGUGGUCGGGACGAUUAUUGGGCCUAAAGCAUCCGUAGCCGGUUGUGCAAGUCCUCCGUUGAAUCCAGCCGCUCAACGGAUGGGCUGCGGAGGAUACUACAGGACUAGGAGGCGGGAGAGGCAAGCGGUACUUAGUGGGUAGGGGUAAAAUCCUUUGAUCCAUUGAAGACCACCAGUGGCGAAGGCGGCUUGCCAGAACGCGCUCGACGGUGAGGGAUGAAAGCUGGGGGAGCAAACCGGAUUAGAUACCCGGGUAGUCCCAGCUGUAAACGAUGCAGACUCGGUGAUGGGCUAGCCUCGUGUCAGCCCAGUGCCGCAGGGAAGCCGUUAAGUCUGCCGCCUGGGGAGUACGGUCGCAAGACUGAAACUUAAAGGAAUUGGCGGGGGAGCACCACAAGGGGUGAAGCCUGCGGUUUCAUUGGAGUNCACGCCGGAGACUCU